UUUCCUACUUUCCCACUUUUCCACCCACGAUUCAUUUACAUCUCCCACUCAACCCUUAGCCCCAAUAUCUCUACGGAACUGACGAGCAGAAAAAGAAAAAAAAAGGGAAAAAAAGCCUCGGAAUUUCAGAACCCCUGUUUGAUUUGAUCGAUCCUCUCAAAUUUAUAUCUGCACCAUCACAAUAUCAAUAGAUAUCUUUACUGGAUUUUGCAGAGCUGAUAUCUUUACCUUCCGAAACCCCUUCUCAUUUGGUCUCUCCUCUGAAAAUCGCUUCUUUGUAAUCAUAAUCCCCUAAGAGAGGAUAUCACGGAUUUUGGAUUCAGGUUAGAUAAUUUCGACCAAAAUAGACAUGAAUUCCUGCAUAUCUUUUGCGUGAGUCAACAAAAUGGUUUCCAAUGUUUGAUAAGGACCUUACCAGAAUAGAGAAUUUGUUACCAAAUAAGGGGGUGGCCUAAACUAGAUAUCUUGGGGUGUGGUUCACGUAGGCAGAUGAAGAGAAACCAAUAAUUGUGGUAUCAAAGGGGAUCGAUUUGAAGAAUGGAAGUUGGAAAGUGUCUAUUAGUUCCACUUCAAUUAAACACAAAAUAUACUGCACCGACACGGUAUACAAAUCAGGUUGGCUAAGGGGUUAGUUGCCAUUAAUAUUUGAUAUGUCUAACAUUUUAACAUUUGAUUUUUCUUUUAGUUUCAAGAAAAUGAUUUCAGAAUUAUAGUGCAGAUGCAAAGAAUUCUUUUAUGUUAAGUCCAGAUUCUUUUUGGGUCUAUAUCUCUCUCUAUGUUGUUUGGUCAGGUGUAUAAAACCUAAUAUUUCUCUCAACUAUGUUGUUUGUUUGACAUUCAUUGUGUAAAAUAUCCUUAUCUUUGCCUUAUCUUUGACACUAGCUUAUAGAAUUAAAGAAACAUAAAACAAUCAUCUGAGACUUCUUUUCUGCCUGCGGGUUAAUUCUGGGGCUUUGUUAUGUAAUUCUAUAUCAAACUUUUUACUUAAGUGGUAAAUUUUUUAGAUUUUUAGAUGAUUUAUGCUACUUGAAAAGGUUGAAAUCAUAUAUGUCAGAACUCAUUUGGAUAAUGAGACUGCGUCCUACGCUCGGGGAAGAUGACGAGGUUAUGAAAAACAUCACCAGAAGUUGGGCAAUACUUACCUUUUCAGCUUAUUGAAAUGGAGAAUGAUAUGACGUAAAAAAUGGACCUGAUGGAAGCAAUGGAAUUUGAGCAAGCAUGCUUAAUCGAAGAGUUGGAUAUUCUAUGAAAGGAGAAUUCACAAAUAUUUAGAAUUAUUGAGGAAUGAAGAAUUUGCAGCAGGUUUAAUUGGAGACGGCUAAAACAAUUCUAGACUUACAAGACAACUUCACCACACUACAACGGGAACUCCGGGAGAUAAUGUCUUAGGGCAGAAGAAAAUAUGACCGGGAAACAGUUUAGCUACAAAAAAAUAUAAAAUUGAGGCACUGACGGAGGAAUGAGAGAAAGCAACCCUAGAACUAACCAGCCUUCAUUGCAGAUGGUUGUAGAUUCCUUGAGGAUGGUUACCGAUCAGGUGCAGUUAAUAGCAAAUUCUUUCAGAAAGUAAACUUUGGAUUACUGAACAUGUAAGAUAGCUGCGAAAAGUCGUUUAAGG
Molecule: long non-coding RNA, 1618 nt
Organism: Papaver somniferum (opium poppy)
Lineage: Eukaryota; Viridiplantae; Streptophyta; Magnoliopsida; Ranunculales; Papaveraceae
Exons: 4
Source: RefSeq, a predicted model, not a curated record